This 1185-nucleotide ribosomal RNA is filed under the name uncultured bacterium. RNAcentral describes it as "bacterial SSU rRNA". It matches the Rfam family "Bacterial small subunit ribosomal RNA", at positions 199 to 1382 of the family's 1533-position model. The record is from RNAcentral.
GCUUCACGGCGUCACCGAGAGAUGGGUCCGCCCCCCAUUAGCUAGUUGGUGAGAUAACAGCUCACCAAGGCUUCGAUGGGUAGCCGAGCUGAGAGGUUGAUCGGCCACACUGGGACUGAGACACGGCCCAGACACCUACGGGUGGCAGCAGUAGGGAAUAUUGGACAAUGGGCGAAAGCCUGAUCCAGCCAUGCCGCGUGAGUGACGAAGGUCUUCGGAUUGUAAAACUCUUUUCUGAGGGAAGAACAUCUGGGUGAGGAAAUGCUCCCAGCUUGACGGUACCUCAGGAAUAAGGGACGGCUAACUCCGUGCCAGCAGCCGCGGUAAUACGGAGGUCCCAAGCGUUGUUCGGAAUUACUGGGCGUAAAGGGAGCGCAGGCGGACAGGUUAGUCUAAAGUGGAAGCCCGGGGCUCAACCUCCGAAGGUCUUUGGAUACUGCCUGUCUUGAGUUUGUCAGAGGAAAGCGGAAUUCAGGGUGUAGCGGUGAAAUGCUUAGAUAUCCUGAGGAACACCGAUGGCGAAAGCAGCUUUCUGGGACAUGACUGACGCUGAGGCUCGAAAGCGUGGGUAGCAAACGGGAUUAGAUACCCCGGUAGUCCACGCCGUAAACGUUGUGCACUAGGUGCAGGAGGUAUCGACCCCUUCUGUGCCGCAGCUAACGCAUUAAGUGCACCGCCUGGGGAGUACGGUCGCAAGACUGAAACUCAAAGGAAUUGACGGGGGCCCGCACAAGCGGUGGAGCAUGUGGUUUAAUUCGAGGCAACGCGAAGAACCUUACCAGACUUGACAUCGCAGGACCGUCAUGGAAACAUGAUUUUCCCUUCGGGGACCUGCAGACAGGUGUUGCAUGGCUGUCGUCAGCUCGUGUCGUGAGAUGUUGGGUUAAGUCCCGCAACGAGCGCAACCCCUGUCCUUAGUUACCAGCGGUUCGGCCGGGCACACUAGGGAGACUGCCGGUGACAAACCGGAGGAAGGUGGGGAUGACGUCAAGUCCUCAUGGCCUUUAUGUCCAGGGCUACACACGUGCUACAAUGGCGCAUACAGAGGGAUGCCAACUCGCGAGAGGGAGCCGACCCCAGAAAGUGCGCCGUAGUUCGGAUUGCAGUCUGCAACUCGACUGCAUGAAGUCGGAAUCGCUAGUAAUCGCGGAUCAGAACGCCGCGGUGAAUACGUUCCCGGGCCUU